Molecule: ribosomal RNA, 461 nt
Filed under: uncultured bacterium
Lineage: Bacteria
Description: SSU rRNA
Rfam family: Bacterial small subunit ribosomal RNA
Source: RNAcentral
AGGACAAACGCUGGCGGCGUGCCUAAAACAUGCAAGUCGAACGGACCCUUCGGGGUCAGUGGCGGACGGCUGAGUAACGCGUGGGUAACCUACCCGUGAGUGGGGAAUAACUAUCCGAAAGGGUGGCUAAUACCGCAUACGAUCGUUGAUCUGCGGAUUGAUGAGGAAAGCGCAAGCGCUCGCGGAGGGGCCCGCGUCCGAUUAGCUAGUUGGUGGGGUAAUGGCUUACCAAGGCGUCGAUCGGUAGCUGGUCUGAGAGGAUGAUCAGCCAGACUGGGACUGUGACACGGCCCAGACUCCUACGGGAGGCAGCAGUUAGGAAUCUUGGGCAAUGGGCGAAAGCCUGACCCAGCAACGCCGCGUGGGUGACGAAGGCCUUCGGGUCGUAAAGCCCUUUUCCACGGGAAGAUAAUGACGGUACCGUGGGAAUAAGCCCCGGCUAACUACGUGCCAGCAGCCGC